Xenia sp. Carnegie-2017 is the source of this 313-nucleotide long non-coding RNA. RefSeq lists it as uncharacterized. The record is from RefSeq and is a predicted model, not a curated record. Lineage: Eukaryota; Metazoa; Cnidaria; Anthozoa; Malacalcyonacea; Xeniidae. The transcript is spliced from 2 exons.
AUUAAAAGUGAAAUGAAAGAAAGACUGGAGCAUUGUUUCGCUAUUGAGUCAACAUCCUAUCUCAAUAUCAUUAUAUAUCACUUAAAACAUUAAUCAUAUCAAGAUCUUGGUCGUUAGUUGCGAGCAAUGUCCAUCCUAUCCUACUUCUGUUUGAAUGUCACGUUGUGUGUGUGAUGAGUGAUCUCGAUUGUGCCUCUCUCAAAGGUCCAGUGUUUACUUUCAACGGAAAUACGUCAUGCAUAUCAAACGUUUAUGGGACAAUUUUUAUGUUUAAAGUUAUGUAUUAAAACUGGAGAAAUACAUCAUUGGUAAA